Molecule: long non-coding RNA, 532 nt
Organism: Nilaparvata lugens (brown planthopper)
Lineage: Eukaryota; Metazoa; Arthropoda; Insecta; Hemiptera; Delphacidae
Exons: 2
Source: RefSeq, a predicted model, not a curated record
CAAAUUUAAUUAAUUCAUCAAAAGAGCCAUUGUUCUUAGUCCUCUCAAUAUUUGAAUAAUUCAAAUUACAAAAGUUUGAUUCAGUAUAAAUACUGUUACAUUUUUGACAGAGUUUAUAGCAUCUGAAUUUCUCCGCAGUGAUAAGAUCUUAUUACUAAGAUCUUGUUACUAUUUUAUCUUGAUCUCUCAGCUACAAGUGGACAAGAUGAAGUUGCAGUAUAUUGUUGCCCUGGCGACAGCUCUAGUUGUGAUGAGUCUAAUAACCGUCGUCAAAUGUGUUCCCAUAAUAGCUUCAUCAGGUAGACCCACGCCGAAACUUCCCUGAAACACUUAACACUGGGAAAUUCUUCUUUUGGGAACGCAUUUGUUUUGAAAAACUGUAUUUGAAAGAAAUAAUUUCAUGUUAAUUUAAAUAAAAAACUUUAAACAUUUCACACUGGAAUUCAACCUUUUAAAACUAAUUUGUUUUGAAAUAUUGUAUUAUUGAAAUAAAUGAUUUUUUGAUGUGAUUAAAAUCUCUGAUACCCGAAAA